Molecule: ribosomal RNA, 450 nt
Filed under: uncultured bacterium
Lineage: Bacteria
Description: partial 16S ribosomal RNA
Rfam family: Bacterial small subunit ribosomal RNA
Source: RNAcentral
GUGGGGAAUUUUGGACAAUGGGCGCAAGCCUGAUCCAGCAAUGCCGCGUGCAGGAAGAAGGCCUUCGGGUUGUAAACUGCUUUUGUACGGAACGAAACGGUCCUGGUUAAUACCUGGGGCUAAUGACGGUACCGUAAGAAUAAGCACCGGCUAACUACGUGCCAGCAGCCGCGGUAAUACGUAGGGUGCAAGCGUUAAUCGGCAUUACUGGGCGUAAAGCGUGCGCAGGCGGUUUUGUAAGACAGGCGUGAAAUCCCCGGGCUCAACCUGGUAAUUGCGCUUGUGACUGCAAGGCUGGAGUGCGGCAGAGGGGGAUGGAAUUCCGCGUGUAGCAGUGAAAUGCGUAGAUAUGCGGAGGAACACCGAUGGCGAAGGCAAUCCCCUGGGCCUGCACUGACGCUCAUGCACGAAAGCGUGGGGAGCAAACAGGAUUAGAUACCCUAGUAGUCC